UUGCACAUUCUUUUAUUAGCAUUACUUAGUAAAAUAGCAAGUUCUGAAAUUAAUAUGUCAAAACAGUAACUUUCCUAUAUAUAAAAAAAUUCUGUCUGAAAAACAUGAUAGAAGAUCCAACUUAUGUGGAACCAUGAAAAAUACUAUGGUGAUAUGCAAUACCUGUAUAAAGAAAAUAAUGAUUCUUAAGGUCGUAUUUUCCCUGAAUCAACCUAUAAGUUCACUAUGAACCUAAUGAAAAUAUCAAAAUAACUUUUGAUAUUAACAAAAUGAUGCUAAAGUUCACUUUUAAAAAAUGCAAUACCCAGAGAAUUUCUGAAAAAAAUAAUGCUAAUUCUGGUAUGGGUGGAAUAGAG
RNAcentral lists this long non-coding RNA (356 nucleotides) under Bos taurus (domestic cattle). RNAcentral describes it as "long non-coding RNA NONBTAT018249". The record is from RNAcentral. Lineage: Eukaryota; Metazoa; Chordata; Mammalia; Artiodactyla; Bovidae.